This is a long non-coding RNA of Brassica rapa (field mustard), 5186 nucleotides long. RefSeq lists it as uncharacterized. NCBI's taxonomy places the organism in Eukaryota, Viridiplantae, Streptophyta, Magnoliopsida, Brassicales, Brassicaceae. The record is from RefSeq and is a predicted model, not a curated record.
UCUCUCUCUCAAUUAGACAUCAAAUUUUUUUGUCUUUAAUUUACUGUAUAUAUACUUUUAAAAAAGUCCAACAUUUGUAAACUUAAAUUUCAAAAUUAUACAAAAUUUGCAUAACUUUUUUACACUAAAGAAAUAAAAAUUGAUUAUAUAUCAAUGUUGUAAUUUUGUGUGUGUAUGGAAUAUUUUUAAAGUUAAAAUUGUUUUUUACAAACAAAUGCAUAUAUAGACAUUGUGUUUAGUGUUUUAAGAGUUAUCUCUUUGGAGAUAUUUAUCAAUUUUUUAUCAUAAAAGUUUUGCCGAAAAUAUCACAUAGAUUCGAAGUCAGUCUUUCAAAAUUCCAAUUUAAACAUAACAUUUCAUACUAACAUUUUUGAAACUGAGACACAAAACAAUCAUCCCCUUGCACUGUUACUAUUUUGUUUCUCUUACAGCUUAUGUAUAUCCCUAGUUUCUUGGAACUGAUUGUGGUAGUGUUUAGGUUUACACUUUACAGGUUGAACAAUAGAGUUUAUGAAUCUUUGUUCUUUCAUCGAUUAUUUCUUUGUUGUUUUGUACUGUGAAUUUUUUUUUGUUUACUUUUUUUUUGGAGAAAAGGCGGGGGGGGGGGGAGAUUUUAUGUUAAAUUCGUUCGUUUUGGAUGGAAGGAUUGGUAUCUCUACCGGCUAUGCCUUUUAAGAUUAUUCGACUAAGACUCUGAAUUAUUCAGACUGUUUUGUUUGUGAUAAUAGUAUAAUUCAGUGAGGGAAAACAAAAUACUAAUUUUAAUACUAAUUUUUGGAUAACUGUAGUUUCUGAAUCUGAGGUCCAAAUAAUCCCUCUAGAAUCGAUACCGAUGAAGAGUCUUAACUCUGGUUUUUUAUUGGAAUCUAAAAUAUAGUCUCAUGCCGGACCAAGCAAUAUCAAUUUAGUUUGUCUCAUGAAAAUAAAAAAAACCUGAUGAAUUUAUGUUUUAUCCUAAAUUCACCUCUUACAAAGGCUGAAUUUAUGUCUUAUCCUAACUACCACUGCUUAGUUCAAAAUACUGCAUUUAAAACAAUUGAAGGAUGUCAAGAAACAAAAACAAUUGAAGUAUUAAAAACUUUAGUGAAAAGUUUAUUCUGCUCAUGUGAUGAUUGAUGGGUCUCACAUUAAUGUGGACAAAGAAGAGAGAUGGAGAAGUGUGGAUUUUGAUUCAUAAUGCAUUGAUGGUGUUCACGUUUAUUUAGCGAUCGAAAUGGUCAAAAGAGAUGGAUGCAAGUUGCAACACAUAAUCCUUCAAUUGUUGGUAAAAAAAAAAAGAAAGAAUGCAACACAUGAUCCUCGUUUCUGUCGUUAAUUCAUCUUUUUUUUCUUUAUUCAUAUCCUCCACUUGUUUUGGGACGUCCAUUUUUGUAUUUACUAUUUCAGUAUUGAAUAAUAUCUUAUUAAAAUUACUACUUAUAUGCUCUUGCAACCAAUAAUUUUGCAUAUUUAUGAAGAUUCAUGUUUAAACAUUUUAUAAAAAUAUACUUCUUGUAAUUCUAUUUGCACCGUGUUAAAAAAAUUAAAUAAUUUUUUUCUAUAAAAAAACCAAUGACAAGUUUCAUUUUUAUAUUCAAAUUUAUAUUUCGUAAAAUGUAAUUCUUUGUUAAUCAAACCACUAUACUAAAGGAUUUACAAUUUUUGAUUAGCUUACUUAGAUAAAGAACAAUCGUUGUUUUCAUACUAUUUAUCCUAGUAUCAAGUAUCAACGCAUGAAGUGAAUCAAACAUUCCCACUCUUCAAAGGUGAUUGUCCUUUUACAUCCAAUCAAUGGAAUCUAUUUAUGAGAUAUUUACUUAUUUUUGUCCUAAAUAUAAGACAUUAAUUAUGGUACCAGUCGAAUAAGUGAUUUAGUUGUUUAAAUGAAAAAUGGUUUCAAUUUUACUACUAGAACUACAUAACUUAUUUUAUUUUUAAUUGUGUGGUAUUUGUAAAUUCAUUCAUAUUACAUUUUUUUUGGUCUAAUUCAUAUUCAUUUUUGAUAUUUUGUUUUAAAAUAUUUUGUCAACCGUUUUGAAAAUAUUCUUUGUAUAUUUUGUUUGUUCUUUUAAACGGGGUAGAGGCACUAUGACAUAGACGUAUCACAUACUAUUAUUCAUUAUAUAUUUGUUACUUGCAAUUUAUCAUAUUUCAAAAAAGAAAACUGGUUAAAAUAUUAUUUGUUCAAACUUAAGUAGUUUUCUUGAGGAUAUUUGUUCCUGACUUGUUAAAUAAUGUAAAAUGAAGAUUUAUAAAUUAAAAUGAUGGUUCAACGAUUGAAGACUUUAAGAAUAAAAAUAAAAUGUGAAUGUAAGAUACCCAAUUUCUAGAAAACGUUACUUUACAGUGUUUUAUCCAGACUAAAGUAGUUUUCUUGAGAAUAUUGACUGUUUCAUUUAUGUGUGGUACUGCUAGCUGAAUAAGGCUCAUUCUGACUUUGUUAAAUAAUGUAAAACGAGGAUUUAUAAAUUAAAAUGCUGGUUCAACGACUAAAGACUUCUUAAGAAGAAAAACAAAACUUGAAUGUAAGAUACGCAAUCUCUAGAAAACGUUACUUUCAAGUGUUUUAUCCAGACUAUGAAGUGUGGACCUUGCCGUUUAUUUUCUGAACAACAAUCAAAUUCAAUUUAUACCAAAAUGUUUUUUUGGUCAAUAUCAAAUAUUUUCGUAGUUAUUAAAAUGAGUCAAAUCUUAUAAUAUAAAGAAGACAUUGUCUCUCACCUCCUGAUGAUAUGUAAUCAAUUCGAGUGCUAAGGAACCACCACAUGUAUUAACGAAUAGCCGCUUGUGAGUUAAGUUUUUUUUUGUUUCAGGAUGGGCUGUUAUCUUUAUAGUUUGCAUUUGGACUUAAAUUAUUUAGUUUUUAGAGAACCGAAUCCGAUAGUGAGUUUUCUUCACACAUGAGGACAAAUUUAGGGUUCAUCAUUCUUUUCAUUAUCUGAAAACUCAAGCGACAAUGGGGUCUUCUGGAAGUUUCUACGGUGGAUUUCCAUGGCGAAUCUCUUGCUCAAGCUCUGUUUAUUCCGUUUCGUUUGGAAUUCUUUUCUCCUAAACCGUUACAAACUGCAUUGAAUCAUCAUCAUUAACGACUGCCUCAACUCUUCCACCCACUCCUACCACGAUUUACUCAUUCAUUACAUCUCUCUACAAGGUGGUGGAUCUCCAGCUUUUAAAAAGGUUAGCUUUCAUCUGUAAAUAUCAUCCUCAGAAAUCUUUAAAACAGUAGAAUGUUCUAUCUCGCUUGAAUGGCUAACUCCCUGAUUUGAAGUCCGGCCCAUGUCCUCCACCUUCGAUGUGCGACUUCUGAAUUUUUUGGAAAGCCAGAAACAUUUAAACAUGAUGUGGAGCUUAUGGGUAUUGAUAUGGCCAAUGUUAUUCUGUUCUUCUAACUAAUUCUGUUCUGGAAAAUCAAUCUUUAUAUAUUUCUAAAAACAAAGCCGGCCUCAAAACUGAAUUAUAAGAAAACUUAUGAAUAUAUUUAUUUUACAUAUUUGGUAGUUGAAUUCUACUAAGAUUGUUGAAGGUUUUUCCACUUUUCUAUUUGUUGCAGGCGGGUCUCAUGCUAGCCAUGGUGAACGUCUAUCGUCUGCUCACUUUCAGACACCUUUCCAAGGUGGGUUUAAUGUACUCCGUCACCAGAUUUGAUAUUAUCCGAGCCAAUCAAAACUUCAAGCUAUCCAACCCUCAUGUCUCAAUACGGUAUAAUGACUCGACUGUUUUUGAUGAGAUAACGGAACCGGUUUCUCCUCUGACAAACGUUUCCGGUUCCGUAAUCACGAUGAGCUACUAUGCGUAGACAACACUAUCACCCAUCUUCCAGACAUUAUUAGUGAGCUCGCUGCUAUAAAGAGUAAUGUAAGUGACCCUUUACAAGGGAAAUAUCGUGUCAUGUCAACGAUAAAAAUUGUCAGUGAUGUAUCUGUGACCAUGAGUAUGUUCGAAUCACAAUGGAAGGCUUACGGGUGGAUCCAAGGGUUGUUGUCACAACAAUCAUAAAUCCCAAGAUUGUAAGAGUAUUUUUGUUUCUAUAUUUAAAACAAUUAACGUCUGCUACUUACUUUGUGACUCACUCUGUUUUUUGUUUAGAGCAAUAGUUACUAAUGUGUACGUCUGUUGUCCGAGACUAACCUCAAGCUCCCAAAAAAAGACAAUCAAUCCUUUAUGAUCAAGACUGUUUUCAAAAGAAAAACAAACAAAAAUGUCUGAUUCCUUUUGAUAACAGUCAAACAAUGCCCAUAAAUUUUUAAACGCUCAACCAACAAUUAUGAUUUUAAUUGGAACAUUGUUUCUAGAUCAUAUACAAAUUUUUCUUUAGAUCACCUAAAUAGCAACUGCCUACAGUGAUCAUCACAAUUCAGUCUUCUCACCUUUCAGUUUCAGUGCUCUUUUAUUUUGUUUAUAUUUACUUUGCUACUAUCCUUUUCAACAACUAUAACUCUAAUUUUUAUAUGAAUCCAUUUUCACAUUAUUAUCAUUAUUACUCUAUUUUCCCAUUACUCAUACUUUUGCAUAAACUAAGAUUAUACAAAUACUUGGAUUGUGACUGACUUCACAUACACCCUUGUCGUAUUAGUUACAACUUUAACAAUGUUCUUAUAAUAGUUCUUUCUAACGUAAGUAAACUUGAUAAUGUAACUUACCACUACUAAACCCUUCAUCAUCUUCAUGCAUGAGAUGAUGCAUCACAAACAUAAUAAAAAAGCAGCAUAACUAUAACUCUGACUAAAUGGAAACUUUGAUUCUUUCCUCCGUGUGAAGUUGAACUCACCUCUUAGAAAAGGAAUUCAUCACUUCAAUGAUACUCUAAAACGUAAUAAUUCCACCUCCACUACUCCUUAUAUCCCAUUUUACAAAACAUUAGAAUAACAAGCGAACAUUAACAUCUGUUUGUUCACCUGUUGCAUAGCUAUGACCAAACAAUUUGAAGAAACUUUGACAACCUCUCAAGAUCAUCAUACUUCGGAUAAUCAUUCCUCGUAAUUCUUAGAAAAAUAAUUAAGGCUAAACAAGGUACAAAAAUAGCCAUAGUCAACCAGUUGAAGAUGGAGAACCAAUAGAUUAGCAAAACAAAAUAAACUCCUUAAAGUCUUAUAAAGCUUAAACAAAGACUUGAAAAUAUGAAUUGGAUAUAUAAAUUGUGACGCAAGAAAGCAAUGAAACACUCAGUAUGAUACAUUAUGAUAGUGUGAACCAUAAAUAGUAGACAA